Molecule: small RNA, 539 nt
Filed under: Pan troglodytes (chimpanzee)
Lineage: Eukaryota; Metazoa; Chordata; Mammalia; Primates; Hominidae
Description: processed transcript
Source: RNAcentral
GCGCGCCGCAGCAGCGCCGCCUUCCCUGCGCAGUCGGUGUCUCCGCGUCGCUGGGCCAUUUACAAGAUGGUUUCGUCCGUGAUGAAGAUGCCGGAGGACGAGUCGACCCCGGAAAAGAGGACUGAGAAAAUCUUCCGCCAAAUGGACACAAACAACGACGGCAAGCUGUCCUUGGAGGAGUUCAUCCGCGGGGCCAAAAGCGACCCAUCCAUCGUGCGUCUGCUGCAGUGCGACCCCAGCAGCGCCUCCCAGUUCUGAGAGGAGCCAGGUUCCCCUUCCUCCCUCCCUUCACCGGCCCCCUCCCGGCUCUUAGCUUCCACUCCCUUGUGUGUAUUCUGGCUGGGGGCCAGAUUGGGGAAGCCCUUCUCCCCGGGUCUGCCCUGUGGGGGGCUUCCGGAAAAGGGAACCCUGCGGUACCCCCAGGCCAAAGCAAGUAAGCGGUUAGCACCCCCCAAUCCCAGAGGCAACAAUAGAGACACAGGCUGGGUUGGUCUGCCCCUCAGUCAGGCCCCCUUACCCACCCACCAGCCCCGAGGCCA